Molecule: non-coding RNA, 288 nt
Filed under: Gossypium hirsutum (cotton)
Lineage: Eukaryota; Viridiplantae; Streptophyta; Magnoliopsida; Malvales; Malvaceae
Description: Bacterial large subunit ribosomal RNA
Rfam family: Bacterial large subunit ribosomal RNA
Source: Rfam by way of RNAcentral
CUUUCGUAACUUCGGGAGUAAGGAUACCUCCACGUAAAGGGGGUUGUACUGACUAGGCUUGGGUGAUUGUUUUCUAAAAAUAUAGGUUUUUGUAAAGUCGUAAGACCAUGUAUAGGGGUUGACGUUUAUUCAAUGUCGAAAGGUUAAGAAAGUUGGUGACUUGAUGAUAGAGGAGCCGACGAUCAAAGUCUCGUGAACAGCGGUUAUAACUAUAACAAUCCUAAGGUAGCAAAAUUUCUUGUCGGGUAAGUUUUGGCCUGCACAAAAGUCGUAAUAAUCUGAGCACUG